This 1504-nucleotide long non-coding RNA is filed under the name Mus musculus (house mouse). RNAcentral describes it as "up-regulated in Myc liver, transcript variant 2 (Urml)". The record is from RNAcentral. Lineage: Eukaryota; Metazoa; Chordata; Mammalia; Rodentia; Muridae.
GAAAGCUCACUCUCCUUUGGCUCCUUGCCGUGUGGGACUGAGCAACUGCUAGAUCCUUGGACUUCCAUUCUACAGCUGCUACUGACUGUUGUUGGGUGUUGGACUGCAGGCUUGACCGGAAGCCCAUCACAGCAGAAAAGAACAGAGCACUUUAACCUAUAAAGACAAAGAAUUCUUCAGUUUGCAGUUGCAGUUCCUGCCCAAUGGUUUCUUUUGCUCAGUGGACCGUUAGUAAAAUGCGUGGGAAAAGUUGGACUGAAAAUGGGGAGAGAAGGAGUCCCCUCCACAACCUCAUGCUCAAGAGAUUCAGAGGGAGCACCCUCAAAAACCAAGUGCUAAAGAGGCUCAGAACGAGGACCCUCAAGAACUUCGUGCUCAAGAGAUUCAGAGGGAGCACCCUCAAGGACCAAGUGCUCAAGAGACUCAGAGCGAGCAACCUCAAGAACUUCGUGGUCAAGAGACUCAGAGGGAGCACCUUCCACAACUUCAUGCUCAAGAGACUCAGAGGGAGCACCCUCCAGGACCUCGUGUUCAAGAGACUAAGAGGGAGCACCCUCAAGAACCUCAUGCUCAAGAGAUUCAGAGGGAGCACCCUCCAGGAUCUCGUACUCAGGAGAUUCAGAGGGAGCACCCUCCAGAACCUCAUGCUCAAGUCACUAAUAGGGAGCACUCUCCAGGAUCUCGUGCUCAGGAUAUUCAGAGGGAGCACCCUCCACAGCCUCAUGCUCAGGAAACUCAGAAGGAGCUCCCUCUGUGACCUCAUGCUCAGGAUACUCAGAGGGAGCACUCUCCAAAACCUCAUGUUUAAGAGGAUGACGGUGAUUGAACCUUAUAUCAAGGUAGAACCGUGAGUCUGGUACUGUAGCAGCCAGCCAAUACCUUUCCAUCCACUCAGGAAUUAGCCUGUUCUGUCACGUCACCCCAAUGUCUCUACCAAACAUUUCAGGAAGACAAAGAAAAAUCUGUCUCUUCUGGCCAAGAUUUGAUUGACAAGCCCAGUUUCUCUAUUUUUUUGUCAGUGCAUCCCAACGUAGGAUCAAUCACAAAAGGCCAAAUAUGUUCCACAAACCAAUCAUGUAGGAGCUCUGCUGAAACUUACAGCCUUCAUCUUUCCGGUGACAAAGGCUUCCAAUCCUGACCUUCCCUAUUUCCACUGUGCUGUGUUCCAGUUCCCAGCCUGCUCUCAACACUUUGCCAUAGUGGAGAUAAUGGAGAUAUCGCGACCUGCCAAGGCAUAGCGACCUGGGAACAAACAGCCAGCACCUACUCUAUCUUGUGUGAUCUUCAUUUACUUAAUAACUGCAAGAAAAUUGUUGAAUUGAGAAUGAAACUGAGUAAUGAGUUAUCUCCAGGGAAUCCAGACUAAUACUCAUACAGCUCCGUUUCUGUCUUCAGUUUUCGUAUGAAUGAUUUUGAUGGCCUCACUCAUUGUUGAUAGCUCCUACUGAAAUUACUUGUCCUUUUCUAGUCUCUGUGUUGUUCUUAGUAAAACCAUGGACAAAAA